RNAcentral lists this ribosomal RNA (80 nucleotides) under Photobacterium phosphoreum. RNAcentral's name for it is "partial 16S ribosomal RNA". It matches the Rfam family "Bacterial small subunit ribosomal RNA", at positions 1 to 76 of the family's 1533-position model. RNAcentral also lists the same sequence under 3 other names. Lineage: Bacteria; Pseudomonadati; Pseudomonadota; Gammaproteobacteria; Vibrionales; Vibrionaceae. The record is from RNAcentral.
ACUUUAAUUGAAGAGUUUGAUCAUGGCUCAGAUUGAACGCUGGCGGCAGGCCUAACACAUGCAAGUCGAGCGGUAACAGA